UCGAACGAGAGAGAAGGAGCUCGCUUCUUCGAUCGAGUGGCGAACGGGUGAGUAACGCGUGAGGAACCUGCCUCAAAGAGGGGGACAACAGUUGGAAACGACUGCUAAUACCGCAUAAGCCCACGGGUCGGCAUCGACCUGAGGGAAAAGGAGUGAUCCGCUUUGAGAUGGCCUCGCGUCCGAUUAGCUGGUUGGUGAGGUAACGGCCCACCAAGGCGACGAUCGGUAGCCGGACUGAGAGGUUGAACGGCCACAUUGGGACUGAGACACGGCCCAGACUCCUACGGGAGGCAGCAGUGGGGAAUAUUGCACAAUGGGGGAAACCCUGAUGCAGCGACGCCGCGUGGAGGAAGAAGGUCUUCGGAUUGUAAACUCCUGUUGUUGAGGAAGAUAAUGACGGUACUCAACAAGGAAGUGACGGCUAACUACGUGCCAGCAGCCGCGGUAAAACGUAGGUCACAAGCGUUGUCCGGAAUUACUGGGUGUAAAGGGAGCGCAGGCGGGAAGACAAGUUGGAAGUGAAAUCUAUGGGCUCAACCCAUAAACUGCUUUCAAAACUGUUUUUCUUGAGUAGUGCAGAGGUAGGCGGAAUUCCCGGUGUAGCGGUGGAAUGCGUAGAUAUCGGGAGGAACACCAGUG
Molecule: ribosomal RNA, 639 nt
Filed under: uncultured bacterium
Lineage: Bacteria
Description: bacterial SSU rRNA
Rfam family: Bacterial small subunit ribosomal RNA
Source: RNAcentral